Non-coding RNA from Ictidomys tridecemlineatus (thirteen-lined ground squirrel), 68 nucleotides. NCBI's taxonomy places the organism in Eukaryota, Metazoa, Chordata, Mammalia, Rodentia, Sciuridae. The record is from Rfam.
GGGGAUGUGGCUCAGUGGUAGAGUGCUCGCCUCACAUGUGAGAAGCACUGGGUCAGUCCUCAGCACCA